Molecule: transfer RNA, 73 nt
Filed under: Stegodyphus mimosarum
Lineage: Eukaryota; Metazoa; Arthropoda; Arachnida; Araneae; Eresidae
Rfam family: tRNA
About the family: Transfer RNA (tRNA) molecules are approximately 80 nucleotides in length. Their secondary structure includes four short double-helical elements and three loops (D, anti-codon, and T loops).
Source: Rfam by way of RNAcentral
GCCUUCGUGGUGUAGCGGUCAGCACACUCGGCGCGUACUCAAGAGAUUCGUGGUUCGAGUCCCGGCAAGGGCA